UACGUAGGGUGCGAGCGUUAAUCGGAAUUACUGGGCGUAAAGCGUGCGCAGGCGGCGCGUUAAGACAGGUGUGAAAGCCCCGAGCUUAACUUGGGAAUUGCGCUUGUGACUGGCGUGCUGGAGUGUGGCAGAGGGAGGUGGAAUUCCACGUGUAGCAGUGAAAUGCGUAGAGAUGUGGAGGAACACCGAUGGCGAAGGCAGCCUCCUGGGCCAGCACUGACGCUGAGGCGCGAAAGCGUGGGUAGCAAACGGG
Molecule: ribosomal RNA, 253 nt
Filed under: uncultured bacterium
Lineage: Bacteria
Description: partial 16S ribosomal RNA
Rfam family: Bacterial small subunit ribosomal RNA
Source: RNAcentral